This is a long non-coding RNA of Musca vetustissima, 306 nucleotides long. RefSeq lists it as uncharacterized. NCBI's taxonomy places the organism in Eukaryota, Metazoa, Arthropoda, Insecta, Diptera, Muscidae. The record is from RefSeq and is a predicted model, not a curated record. The transcript has 2 exons.
AACCAGCCAGCCAGUAAAGCGUUCGUAUUUCGGCAUUAUUGUGAAGAAUACAUCUAUCUCCUCAUCGAGUUACGUCGCAUGUGAAAGACAGUUUAGCAAACAGUAUCGUGUCGGUAGUUGUCGCGAGCGCUUGCUUCUAUUACCUAUACAUUUACCUAUCGAAGAUUAUUAGCAGAGCGCUGUGUGUUCUCCAUCACAGCGACGACAAGUGUUUGUGGUGUUCCAUCCUAGAAUUAGUGCAGUGUAGUUGUAGUCUUUAGUAUCUUUGAGGUAGAUCACAACACAACACAACAUUUGUAAAGAAAA